RNAcentral lists this ribosomal RNA (491 nucleotides) under uncultured Cytophagaceae bacterium. RNAcentral's name for it is "partial 16S ribosomal RNA". Lineage: Bacteria; Pseudomonadati; Bacteroidota; Cytophagia; Cytophagales; Cytophagaceae. The record is from RNAcentral.
CACGGAGUUAGCCGGUGCUUAUUCCGCUGGUACCGGCAAAUACCCUCGCAAGGAUACCCUUCUUCCCAGCUAAAGGAAGUUUACAACGCUGAGCGCCUUCAUCCUUCACGCGGCAUGGCUGGGUCAGGCUUGCGCCCAUUGCCCAAUAUUCCCUACUGCUGCCUCCCGUAGGAGUCGGGUCCGUCUCUCAGUACCCGUGUGGGGGCCAAUCCUCUCAGAACCCCUACUGAUCAUCGCCUUGGUAGGCCGUUACCCUGCCAACUAGCUAAUCAGACGCAAACCCCUCCCUGAUCUAUAAAUAUUUACCCAGCACUCCAGGUGAAGUAAAGGGACCAUGCGGGUUUACCCCAGCUUUCGCCGGGCUAUCCCCAAUCAGGGCAGGUUGUUACGCGUUACGCACCCGUUUGCCGCUGCAGGUAUCGCUACCCACCGCUCGACUUGCAUGUAUUAGGCCUGCCGCUAGCGUUCAUCCUGAGCCAGGAUCAAACUCU